Long non-coding RNA from Spinacia oleracea (spinach), 2967 nucleotides. RefSeq lists it as uncharacterized. The transcript has 6 exons. The record is from RefSeq and is a predicted model, not a curated record. Lineage: Eukaryota; Viridiplantae; Streptophyta; Magnoliopsida; Caryophyllales; Amaranthaceae.
AAAAACAAAGAAAUAUAGAUUUCUCCAUUGUUUUCAUUAAAUUUCUCAUCAAAAUGCUGUUUACACUUUUUAUGCAUGUUACUUUUCAAUAGUUCUGAAAAUCCUUGCUAGAAACGCAGGAUCUGAGACUUCGUUGCUAUAAGCUGAGGAACUUCCCAUCACCAGAAUAUGUACAGUCGUAAUUUGUGUUUGCUGAGUAAUUCAUAGAAUUGAGCUUAAAUUUGCACGUUUUUUUACUUUUUUUUAUUAAUUUAUGUAAUUAAUUGAUGUGAAAAUUAGCAACUUGUCUAAAUCAUUGAGUGCUUAUAUUAUUCAAUACCUAGGCUUAAUUUUGUGUGAUUCAAUAGGCUUUUUUUCCGUAUCAUGCUGUUUAACUUCGCUUGGGUACGUGUUAGAUCGAUUGAGAAGGGUGCUGGUCCUGAUUUGCUGGUAUAUAUUCGAGAAAUCAGCUUCUGCGAACAAAUAGCUUCUAACUGUUUCAGCUGUACAGGCCGUCAUCCUGCAGCCACUGGGUAACAAGGGAAUUGCAGUUAUAUGAGGUGAUACAAUAAGGGGGUUUUCCACUGCUGACCAGGAUCGCAUAACGCUCCUUCUCCGUGAUUACCGGCAACUGCAAGGUGCCCAAUAAUAUGAUCGAAUUUUGACCUGGGUAGUUAAGGACGACCAGCCUGUAUCAUACCGGACAGCCACAGCAAAGCCUGUAUACCAAUGGAUAAUCAAGCCUCAGAGUGUCGCCAAAACUAAUGAGAUGUUUCUUCCUGGGCGAAUGUCAUUUAUUUAUGACAUGGUUGGAUGCAAAGCUCUUUGUGUUGACUGGUAGAUUGAUUAAUUCUUGAAUGAGCCCUAUGAAAGCGUGAUCCAAUGUAACAACUUUGACGGAUCCGAAACAUGAUAUUGUUUCAUGGAGCACAAUUAUCACAGGAUAUGGAAGUCAUGGAAAAGGGGAGAUAGAUGGCUUUAAAGCUGUAUUCGGAUUUUCUAAUUUCAUGGAAUCAACCAAAUCGUGUCAUUUUCCUUUCUGUUCUCUUCUCUUGUAGCCACAAUGGGAUGGUUUCUGAAGGUCUGAGCUUAUUCAAUUCUAUGACUCGGGAUUUUGGAAUUAAACCAGAACUUGAGCAUCGAGCUUGCAUCGUUGAUCUGCUCUGUCGAGCUGGAAAGAUUGGGGAGGCAUAUGAAUUCAUUUGGAAAAUGUUCUUUAACCCUACAACUGAUGUUUUGGGCAUACUUCUCGAUGCAUGUCGGAUGAAGGGUGAUGCUAAACUUGGAGAAAUUGUUGCAAGAGAUAUGAUGAUGCUGAAACCUGCAUGUGCUGGAAAUUAUGUACAACUAGCUCAUAGUUUUGCUGCUAUGAAUAGAUGGGAGGGGGUGAAUGAUGCAUGGACUCAAAUGAAGGCUCUUGGACUUAAAAAACUCCCAGGUUGGAGUCUGAGUUAAUUUGGUGACAGCAGUCUGAGUCAUUCAGUCAUCCUGAAGAUUCAUCUUCCAGCUGCUGUCUGGUACUGCAGACCUGUGUGCCAAUUACCAAGGUCUGGGGUAAAUUUCCCAAUCAAAGUAACAAUAAUUGAACAUAUAGUUGGUUAACUUGUGCAAAUAUAUAGGGAAGAUUUUAUUGUAGAAGUGAUUCUUUGACAGUAAAUCGGUUCACAUUAGAGAUGGGAAGUAUGUAUCUUAUCUAUGUUCUACCAUUCCAUUCACGUUUAUGUGUUGACAUAUUGAUGGUUAACUUGUGCACAGAUCGAUGCAGGUGUGAUUGUAUAGCUUCUACGGGUGAUUCUUUCAUCCGUAAUUUCUUCUACAGAUCAACCAUUUCUGCAGGUGUAUGUUCGAGUGUCACAAGUACGUAACUGGGAGGAAAGUCAUGCAGGAGACAAUUGUGAAAUGAUCUUCAUGUGAUGUAAGUAUCCAUCAUUCCAUCAUGAUCCUGUAAGUUAGUGAUUAAUAGAGUAUAUAUUCAAGUAAUUAUCCUUGUUUCUUGCGAGUAGUUAUAUAGCAUCAGAAUUCUGUCAUCUUGAAAGUAAUUUCUGGUAGUGAAAAUAUUUGCACAGCUACAAGUAUAAUAAGUUUGCAAACAUAUUUAGGCUAAACUUUCGACUGCCAGAUUAAUUAUAGAUAUAUUUAGGCUAAACUUUCGACUGCCAGAUUAAUUAUAGAUUUAUUUCAAGUGAAAUCAUGGCAGUUAUCAGAUUAGCUUAAGUUAUUGUUCUUGGUUAUUUUUACCUCAAUAAAAUACCUCAAAGCAUCAACUAAGUCGCUAUACAACCUGACAAUCUUUGCAAAGCUUAACAGUUUUGGUAAUAAUUAGGCUUUGACCAUGACAGUGGGAGGAAUGCUGAAUGAAGCUAUUAAUAAUUUUAAAUGACACUAAAUAUGGCUUAAUAGAGCUUUCAAAUGACACUAAAUAUGGCUUAACCAUGGUCAUUAAAAUUCCACCUAAAAAGGAUUAGGCUCCAAAUUCGAUCGUGAGCUCAGACGACAACAAAGUACCAAAUUACCAUCAUAAUGUGUAAGCCAAUUCUAGCGUUGAAUUUUAAAAUAGAGAGCUAGGCCACUGGUAAACUCUUGAGCACCUGUCUUUUGGUUGUGUCUACGGCAAGGCUGCUUUAGACCAGAUUAAGCAGUGGCUGGGGAUAAGAACUUCAAAAAUUGAUCUGUUAUACCUGCUGAAAUGGCUACAGAAGGACUACAAAGGCUCUAGAUUCCAGAAAAGGGUGCAGUAAACUGCUGUUCCUGCUUUAGUAAUACCAAUAUGGAGAGUUAGAAGUGAUGCAAUUUGGAAUUUUAAAGUUAUACAUACUGAUUCUUUUGUAAAAGUUGUAAAGGAUACCAUAAAGAGCAGGAUAGGAAGAAUCAUAGGGAACUAAGUGUAAAUAUCACAGAUCUCUAGCUGCGAUAUCUAGACUUUUCUUUUUUUAAUAAUGUUCAUGUAUGAUUGAAUUCGCUGAACUAUAAUUUAUCUCAUUAUUCAAA